This 557-nucleotide ribosomal RNA is filed under the name uncultured bacterium. RNAcentral describes it as "bacterial SSU rRNA". It matches the Rfam family "Bacterial small subunit ribosomal RNA", at positions 102 to 694 of the family's 1533-position model. The record is from RNAcentral.
ACGGGUGAGUAACGCGUGGGAAUCUACCCAUCCCUACGGAAUAACGCAUGGAAACGUGUGCUAAUACCGCAUACGCCCUACGGGGGAAAGAUUUAUCGGGGAUGGAUGAGCCCGCGUUGGAUUAGCUAGUUGGUGGGGUAAAGGCCUACCAAGGCGACGAUCCAUAGCUGGUCUGAGAGGAUGAUCAGCCACAUUGGGACUGAGACACGGCCCAAACUCCUACGGGAGGCAGCAGUGGGGAAUAUUGGACAAUGGGCGCAAGCCUGAUCCAGCCAUGCCGCGUGAGUGAUGAAGGCCUUAGGGUUGUAAAGCUCUUUCACCGGAGAAGAUAAUGACGGUAUCCGGAGAAGAAGCCCCGGCUAACUUCGUGCCAGCAGCCGCGGUAAUACGAAGGGGGCUAGCGUUGUUCGGAAUUACUGGGCGUAAAGCGCACGUAGGCGGACUUUUAAGUCAGGGGUGAAAUCCCGGGGCUCAACCUCGGAACUGCCUUUGAUACUGGAAGUCUGGAGUAUGGAAGAGGUGAGUGGAAUUCCGAGUGUAGAGGUGAAAUUCGUAGA